UCCAGGUGGAGGUGCUGUAGGAGAAGCAGAGCUGCAUGUUUCGGUGUAAAUCAGAAGACGAAGCAGCAGCAGAGAAGAAGCAGUUGUGCGAUGGGAACAUGUGACGUGUGAGUGUGAGUAGUGACAGUUGUGUACCGGGGAGUGUAAAAAGACUGGGUCCCGCUGUAUUACUCAGGCUGCACUACAACGUCUAUUCACAGGCGCGAUCCCACUACUGAGCGGCACGGGGGCUUUGGCCUGCUCCGUUUCCGACCUGGGCCGAUGCACCCCUCCUUAGACGACCUGGUGGUCCCGGGCUCCCCCGGCAGCACCAUAUCGAUACCGAACUUAGUGCGGACACCCGAUCGACAUAGUCCGCUGCAGCUCAGAUCUCCUGAGCUCAAACGAUCCGCCAGACUCAGCCUCCCGGUAACUUGGAUUACAGGCGCGCGCCACCGCGCCCGGCGAGGAACACACUCACUCACAGGGAUUUUGAGUCUGGCCGACGUGACGUCAUCCACUUAUUUCCCAUCACAUUCAUCAGCUGAUACUGAUUUUACAUUCAACUCAUUUUGGACAUUACACAACAUAAACACAGUUCUGACCCUUGUUGAUUGACUGACACAUCAUAGUAAAAUCGGAUAUGAUUUUAUUAAUCGCUGAAAACAAACAACAUACUAUUUGAUCCUAUCUGUAUCAGUUUUAUCUUGUUUGUAUCAAACACUGAUGUCACUUUGAUGUAUCAGUCAAAUUCAACAAGUCAGAACUUUAAAAAACAACAACAAUGAAAGCCACUAGAUGUCGCUGCAGCAUGCUUAAUCAUGACGUCACGUCGGCCAGACUCAAAGUCCCUGUGAGUGAGCCUGUUUCUCGCCGGGCGCGGUGGCGCGCGCCUGUAAUCCAAGUUACCGGGAGGCUGAGUCUGGCGGAUCGUUUGAGCUCAGGAGAUCUGAGCUGCAGCGGACUAUGUCGAUCGGGUGUCCGCACUAAGUUCGGUAUCGAUAUGGUGCUGCCGGGGGAGCCCGGGACCACCAGGUCGUCUAAGGAGGGGUGCAUCGGCCCAGGUCGGAAACGGAGCAGGCCAAAGCCCCCGUGCCGCUCAGUAGUGGGAUCGCGCCUGUGAAUAGACGUUGUAGUGCAGCCUGAGUAAUACAGCGGGACCCAGUCUUUUUACACUCCCCGUACCUCCACCUGGAGGACAGCCGCUACUACCCCACCCACUCUCAACACUUCUCCUAAUAUCCUGCAGGGGGCGCUAAAGCAUUAUUGCAGUAUUCAAGUGUUUUACCAACAUUGACUUCACCCGUGAGCAACAUGACAUGUAACAUUCAAAAUGUGUAUCUUCUUCUAAUAAGUGUAUAAUUUUU
Scophthalmus maximus (turbot) is the source of this 1346-nucleotide long non-coding RNA. RefSeq lists it as uncharacterized. The transcript is spliced from 2 exons. The record is from RefSeq and is a predicted model, not a curated record. NCBI's taxonomy places the organism in Eukaryota, Metazoa, Chordata, Actinopteri, Pleuronectiformes, Scophthalmidae.